ACGCAAAAUGAACUGAACCAGGAGUGAGCUUCGUGUACAUUAUCUAUUAGAAAAUGAAGUACCUUCUGGUUCAGCUAGUCCCUGUGCGU
Molecule: microRNA precursor, 89 nt
Organism: Homo sapiens (human)
Lineage: Eukaryota; Metazoa; Chordata; Mammalia; Primates; Hominidae
Source: Ensembl